RNAcentral lists this ribosomal RNA (253 nucleotides) under uncultured bacterium. RNAcentral's name for it is "partial 16S ribosomal RNA". It matches the Rfam family "Bacterial small subunit ribosomal RNA", at positions 524 to 776 of the family's 1533-position model. The record is from RNAcentral.
UACGUAGGGGGCAAGCGUUGUCCGGAAUUACUGGGCGUAAAGCGAGUGUAGGCGGUUUGGUAAGUCGGAUGUGAAAGCCCCGGGCUCAACCCGGGAAGUGCACUCGAUACUACCAGGCUAGAGUAUCGGAGAGGUUGGUGGAAUUCUCGGUGUAGAGGUGAAAUUCGUAGAUAUCGAGAGGAACACCGGUGGCGAAGGCGGCCAACUGGACGAAUACUGACGCUGAGACUCGAAAGCGUGGGGAGCAAACAGG